UAAUUUCUGAAAUAUUUGAGGGUUCCAUAUUUUGAACCUACAGAUCAUAAACGGGAGUUCAAAAUUUAGAUAUGAAAUGACCUAUAAGACCAGUUUAAGGCAAGGACAAUGCAGUAUCUGUGAGAACACCCACCUAUCAGAAGAUAGGGUGUCAAAAUUGGAGCAAACGGUAUUUUGGAUUUCAG
Molecule: non-coding RNA, 185 nt
Organism: Clostridium tetani E88
Lineage: Bacteria; Bacillati; Bacillota; Clostridia; Eubacteriales; Clostridiaceae
Rfam family: 6S / SsrS RNA
About the family: E. coli 6S RNA was the first non coding RNA to be sequenced, but its function was unknown until recently.
Source: Rfam